CCCUUAGAUGUUCUGGGCCGCACGCGCGCUACACUGUUCGACGCAGCGAGUCUUAACCUUGACCGAAAGGUUUGGGUAAUCUUCAGCAAAGUCGAACGUGAUGGGGAUCGAUCAUUGCAAUUAUUGAUCGUGAACGAGGAAUUCCUAGUAAGUGCAAGUCAUCAGCUUGCGCUGAUUACGUCCCUGCCCUUUGUACACACCGCCCGUCGCUACUACCGAUUGAAUGGUUUAGUGAGAUCUCUGGAUUGACGCUGGCUAGGGGGCGACCCUUGGCCAGACUGUUGAGAAACUGCUCAAACUUGAUCAUUUAGAGGAAGAAAAAGUCGUAACA
This 331-nucleotide ribosomal RNA is filed under the name uncultured eukaryote. RNAcentral describes it as "partial 18S ribosomal RNA". It matches the Rfam family "Eukaryotic small subunit ribosomal RNA", at positions 1470 to 1796 of the family's 1831-position model. The record is from RNAcentral.